AGAGUUUGAUCCUGGCUCAGGACGAACGCUGGCGGCGUGCUUAACACAUGCAAGUCGGACGGUCGGUACUGGAAGGUUCGCUGGAAGGUGCCGAUAGUGGCGGACGGGUGAGUAACGCGUGAGGACAUGGCAGCAGGAGGGGGAUAACGUCUGGAAACGGACGCUAAGACCCCAUAAGCCGGGAGGUGAAAGUGGCGUAAGCCAGCCUGUUGAGUGACUCGCGUCCUAUCAGCUAGUUGGCGGGGUGAAGGCCCACCAAGGCGAUGACGGGUAGCCGACCUGAGAGGGUGGCCGGCCACACUGGAACUGAGAUACGGUCCAGACUCCUACGGGAGGCAGCAGUGGGGAAUAUUGGGCAAUGGGCGCAAGCCUGACCCAGCGACGCCGCGUGGGGGAAGAAGUCUUUCGGGACGUAAACCCAUGUUGUACGGGACGAAGGAAGUGACGGUACCGUACGAGGAAGCCCCGGCAAACUACGUGCCAGCAGCCGCGGUAA
This 496-nucleotide ribosomal RNA is filed under the name uncultured bacterium. RNAcentral describes it as "bacterial SSU rRNA". It matches the Rfam family "Bacterial small subunit ribosomal RNA", at positions 8 to 523 of the family's 1533-position model. The record is from RNAcentral.